RNAcentral lists this ribosomal RNA (253 nucleotides) under uncultured bacterium. RNAcentral's name for it is "partial 16S ribosomal RNA". It matches the Rfam family "Bacterial small subunit ribosomal RNA", at positions 524 to 776 of the family's 1533-position model. The record is from RNAcentral.
UACGUAGGUGGCAAGCGUUAUCCGGAUUUAUUGGGCGUAAAGGGAACGCAGGCGGUCUUUUAAGUCUGAUGUGAAAGCCUUCGGCUUAACCGGAGUAGUGCAUUGGAAACUGGGAGACUUGAGUGCAGAAGAGGAGAGUGGAACUCCAUGUGUAGCGGUGAAAUGCGUAGAUAUAUGGAAGAACGCCAGUGGCGAAAGCGGCUCUCUGGUCUGUAACUGACGCUGAGGUUCGAAAGCGUGGGUAGCAAACAGG